GAUGAACGCUGGCGGCGUGCCUAAUACAUGCAAGUCGAGCGAACAGACGAGGAGCUUGCUCCUCUGACGUUAGCGGCGGACGGGUGAGUAACACGUGGAUAACCUACCUAUAAGACUGGGAUAACUUCGGGAAACCGGAGCUAAUACCGGAUAAUAUAUUGAACCGCAUGGUUCAAUAGUGAAAGACGGUUUUGCUGUCACUUAUAGAUGGAUCCGCGCCGCAUUAGCUAGUUGGUAAGGUAACGGCUUACCAAGGCAACGAUGCGUAGCCGACCUGAGAGAGUGAUCGGCCACACGGGAACGGAGACACGGUCCAGACUCCUACGGGAGGCAGCAGUAGGGAAUCUUCCGCAAUGGGCGAAAGCCUGACGGAGCAACGCCGCGUGAGUGAUGAAGGUCUUCGGAUCGUAAAACUCUGUUAUUAGGGAAGAACAAAUGUGUAAGUAACUAUGCACGUCUUGACGGUACCUAAUCAGAAAGCCACGGCUAACUACGUG
Molecule: ribosomal RNA, 497 nt
Filed under: uncultured bacterium
Lineage: Bacteria
Description: partial 16S ribosomal RNA
Rfam family: Bacterial small subunit ribosomal RNA
Source: RNAcentral